This 253-nucleotide ribosomal RNA is filed under the name uncultured bacterium. RNAcentral describes it as "partial 16S ribosomal RNA". It matches the Rfam family "Bacterial small subunit ribosomal RNA", at positions 524 to 776 of the family's 1533-position model. The record is from RNAcentral.
UACAGGGGGGGCAAGCGUUGUUCGGAAUUACUGGGCGUAAAGGGCUCGUAGGCGGCCAACUAAGUCACACGUGAAAUCCCCAGGCUUAACCUGGGAACUGCGUGUGAUACUGGAUGGCUUGAAUUCGGGAGAGGGAUGCAGAAUUCCAGGUGUAGCAGUGAAAUGCGUAGAUAUGUGGAGGAACACCGAUGGCGAAGGCAGCCCCCUGGGCCUGCACUGACGCUCAUGCACGAAAGCGUGGGGAGCAAACAGG